CCGAGUUUACAACUCCCAAACCCAAUGUGAACGUUACCAAACUGUUGCCUCGGCGGGGUCACGCCCCGGGUGCGUAAAAGCCCCGGAACCAGGCGCCCAGCCCGGAGGAACCAACCAAACUCUUUCUGUAGUCCCCUCGCGGACGUAUUUCUUACAGCUCUGAGCAAAAAUUCAAAUGAAUCA
RNAcentral lists this unclassified non-coding RNA (183 nucleotides) under soil metagenome. RNAcentral describes it as "partial internal transcribed spacer 1". The record is from RNAcentral.